GAUGAACGCUGGCGGCGUGCCUAAUACAUGCAAGUCGAGCGAACGGACGAGAAGCUUGCUUCUCUGAUGUUAGCGGCGGACGGGUGAGUAACACGUGGAUAACCUACCUAUAAGACUGGGAUAACUUCGGGAAACCGGAGCUAAUACCGGAUGAUAUUUUGAACCGCAUGGUUCAAAAGUGAAAGACGGUCUUGCUUUCACUUAUAGAUGGAUCCGCGCUGCAUUAGCUAGUUGGUAAGGUAACGGCUUACCAAGGCAACGAUGCAUAGCCGACCUGAGAGGGUGAUCGGCCACACUGGAACUGAGACACGGUCCAGACACCUACGGGAGGCAGCAGUAGGGAAUCUUCCGCAAUGGGCGAAAGCCUGACGGAGCAACGCCGCGUGAGUGAUGAAGGUCUUCGGCUCGUAAAACUCUGUUAUUAGGGAAGAACAUAUGUGUAAGUAACUGUGCACAUCUUGACGGUACCUAAUCAGAAAGCCACGGCUAACUACGUG
This 497-nucleotide ribosomal RNA is filed under the name uncultured bacterium. Its description in RNAcentral is "partial 16S ribosomal RNA". It matches the Rfam family "Bacterial small subunit ribosomal RNA", at positions 28 to 507 of the family's 1533-position model. The record is from RNAcentral.